This 253-nucleotide ribosomal RNA is filed under the name uncultured bacterium. RNAcentral's name for it is "partial 16S ribosomal RNA". It matches the Rfam family "Bacterial small subunit ribosomal RNA", at positions 524 to 776 of the family's 1533-position model. The record is from RNAcentral.
UACGUAGGGGGCUAGCGUUGUCCGGAAUCAUUGGGCGUAAAGCGCGCGUAGGCUGCCAGAUAAGUCCGGUGUGAAAGUCAAAGGCUCAACCUUUGAAUGCCGCUGGAAACUGUCUGGCUAGAGUCCGGAAGGGGCGAGUGGAACUCCUGGUGUAGCGGUGAAAUGCGCAGAUAUCAGGAAGAACACCAAUGGCGAAGGCAGCUCGCUAGGACGGUACUGACGCUGAGGCGCGAAAGCGUGGGGAGCAAACAGG